Long non-coding RNA from Lates calcarifer (barramundi perch), 427 nucleotides. RefSeq lists it as uncharacterized. The transcript has 5 exons. The record is from RefSeq and is a predicted model, not a curated record. NCBI's taxonomy places the organism in Eukaryota, Metazoa, Chordata, Actinopteri, Centropomidae.
GACAAGGUCUCUGCGAUCGUGGACAAUGUCUCUGAUCGUGGACGAUGUCUCCCUCAUCCUCAACAAUGUCUCUCCGACCAUGGACCAUGUCUCUGCGAUCGUGGACAAUGUCUCUGAUCGUGGACGAUGUCUCCCUCAUCCUCAACAAUGUCUCUCCGACCAUGGACCAUGUCUCUGCGAUCGUGGACAAUGUCUCUGAUCGUGGACGAUGUCUCCCUCAUCCUCAACAAUGUCUCUCCGACCAUGGACCAUGUCUCUGCGAUCGUGGACAAUGUCUCUGAUCGUGGACGAUGUCUCCCUCAUCCUCAACAAUGUCUCUCCGACCAUGGACCAUGUCUCUGCGAUCGUGGACAAUGUCUCUGAUCGUGGACGAUGUCUCCCUCAUCCUCAACAAUGUCUCUCCGACCAUGGACCAUGUCUCGGCGAU